GUGGGGAAUCUUGCGCAAUGGGCGAAAGCCUGACGCAGCAACGCCGCGUGCGGGAUGAAGGCCUUCGGGUUGUAAACCGCUUUCAGCAGGGACGAAAAUGACGGUACCUGCAGAAGAAGCUCCGGCUAACUACGUGCCAGCAGCCGCGGUAAUACGUAGGGAGCAAGCGUUGUCCGGAUUUAUUGGGCGUAAAGAGCUCGUAGGCGGUUUCGUAAGUCGAGUGUGAAAAAUCUGGGCUUAACCCAGUGGAGCACUCGAUACUGCGAUGACUUGAGACUGGUAGAGGAGUGUGGAAUUCCUGGUGUAGCGGUGAAAUGCGCAGAUAUCAGGAGGAACACCAACGGCGAAGGAAGCACUCUGUGCCAGUACUGACGCUGAGGAGCGAAAGCGUGGGGAGCAAACGUGAUUAGAAACCCGUGUAGUCC
RNAcentral lists this ribosomal RNA (425 nucleotides) under uncultured bacterium. RNAcentral describes it as "partial 16S ribosomal RNA". It matches the Rfam family "Bacterial small subunit ribosomal RNA", at positions 354 to 796 of the family's 1533-position model. The record is from RNAcentral.